AAAGGGUGCGUAGGCGGGAUCUUAAGUCAGGGGUGAAAUCCCGAGGCUCAACCUCGGAACUGCCUUUGAUACUGGGGUCCUUGAGUCCGGAAGAGGUGAGUGGAACUGCGAGUGUAGAGGUGAAAUUCGUAGAUAUUCGCAAGAACACCGGUGGCGAAGGCGGCUCACUGGUCCGGAACUGACGCUGAGGCACGACAGCGUGGGGAGCAAACAGGAUUAGAUACCCCUGU
RNAcentral lists this ribosomal RNA (230 nucleotides) under uncultured bacterium. RNAcentral's name for it is "partial 16S ribosomal RNA". It matches the Rfam family "Bacterial small subunit ribosomal RNA", at positions 562 to 791 of the family's 1533-position model. The record is from RNAcentral.